This 491-nucleotide ribosomal RNA is filed under the name Kassina cochranae (spotted running frog). RNAcentral's name for it is "partial 12S ribosomal RNA". It matches the Rfam family "Bacterial small subunit ribosomal RNA", at positions 794 to 1522 of the family's 1533-position model. The record is from RNAcentral. Lineage: Eukaryota; Metazoa; Chordata; Amphibia; Anura; Hyperoliidae.
GCUUAGCCAUAAAAUAUAUAUUUACACCUAAAACGCCAGAGNAAUUACGAGCACAAGCUUAAAACUCAAAGGACUUGACGGUGUCCCAUCUGCCUAGAGGAGCCUGUUCUAUAAUCGAUACUCCCCGAUUUACCUCACCACUUUUAGCCAAUCAGCCUGUAUACUUCCGUCGUAAGCUUACCAUAUGAAUGCUAGUGAGCAAAAUGAUUAAUAUACCCACACGUCAGGUCAAAGUGCAGCCGACAAAGUGGCAAGAAAUGGGCUACAAUUUCUAACUUUAGAACAUACGAAAAACCACAUGAAAACUGGUCACGAAGGCGGAUUUAGCAGUAAGGGGAAAAUAGAGUGUNCCCCUUAAAUAUGCCCUGGGACGUGUACACACCGCCCGUCACCCUCUUCUAAUUAUCUUUACAUGUUAAUUAACACAACUUAUUUUAUAAGAAGAGGCAAGUCGUAACAUGGUAAGCAUACUGGAAAGUGUGCUUGGACAC